AGCGAACGCUGGCGGCAGGCUUAACACAUGCAAGUCGAGCGGGCACUUUCGGGUGUCCGCGGCGGACGGGUGCGUAACGCGUGGGAACGUGCCCUCUGGUUCGGAAUAACUCAGGGAAACUUGAGCUAAUACCGGAUACGCCCUUUUGGGGAAAGGCUUGCUGCCGGAGGAUCGGCCCGCGUCUGAUUAGCUAGUUGGUGAGGUAACGGCUCACCAAGGCGACGAUCAGUAGCUGGUCUGAGAGGAUGAUCAGCCACACUGGGACUGAGACACGGCCCAGACUCCUACGGGAGGCAGCAGUAGGGAAUAUUGGGCAAUGGGCGCAAGCCUGAUCCAGCCAUGCCGCGUGAGUGAUGAAGGCCUUAGGGUUGUAAAGCUCUUUUAUCCGGGACGAUAAUGACGGUACCGGAGGAAUAAGCCCCGGCUAACUUCGUG
Molecule: ribosomal RNA, 435 nt
Filed under: uncultured bacterium
Lineage: Bacteria
Description: partial 16S ribosomal RNA
Rfam family: Bacterial small subunit ribosomal RNA
Source: RNAcentral